CUGGCGGCGCGUCUUAAGCAUGCAAGUCGAACGGCAAGAGGUAGCAAUACCUCCUAGAGUGGCGGACUGGUGAGUAACACGUGGGUGACAUACCCUUCAGAUGGGGAUAGCUAUUAGAAAUAGUAGAUAAUACCGAAUACGAGCACAGGGGUUAGAGAUCUGUGAGGAAAGGAGCUAAGGCUCCGCUGAAGGAAUGGCCUGCGGCCCAUUAGCUAGUUGGUGAGGUAAGAGCCCACCAAGGCGAUGAUGGGUAUCCGGCCUUAGAGGGUGAACGGACACAUUGGGACUGAGAUACGGCCCAGACUCCUACGGGAGGCAGCAGCUAAGAAUAUUCCGCAAUGGACGAAAGUCUGACGGAGCGACGCCGCCGUGGAUGAAGAAGGCCGGAAGGUUGUAAAAUCCUUUUGAAACUGAAGAAUAAGCGUUGUAGGGAAUGACAGCGUGGUGACAGUAGGUUUUGAAUAAGCAACGGCUAAUUACGUGCCAGCCGCCGC
Molecule: ribosomal RNA, 494 nt
Filed under: uncultured bacterium
Lineage: Bacteria
Description: bacterial SSU rRNA
Rfam family: Bacterial small subunit ribosomal RNA
Source: RNAcentral